This 209-nucleotide ribosomal RNA is filed under the name uncultured eukaryote. RNAcentral describes it as "partial 18S ribosomal RNA". The record is from RNAcentral.
UCGUGGAGUGAUCUGUCUGCUUAAUUGCGUUUCACUAAGGAGCUAUAUUACUAUGUAUGUUGUCAGCGCAUUGACCCCUACAUUUCUGUGUUAACCCUUGCGGUUCAUUGUGAAUGUCAGCGUGUGUCUUUGAUUACGUCUGGCUCAUACGAUUAGCUCCUGAAAGCAACGAACGUGACCGCAACCUCUUAUUGCCUUCAUUUCCAAUA